RNAcentral lists this ribosomal RNA (497 nucleotides) under uncultured bacterium. RNAcentral describes it as "partial 16S ribosomal RNA". It matches the Rfam family "Bacterial small subunit ribosomal RNA", at positions 28 to 507 of the family's 1533-position model. The record is from RNAcentral.
GAUGAACGCUGGCGGCGUGCCUAAUACAUGCAAGUCGAGCGAACAGACAAGGAGCUUGCUCCUCUGACGUUAGCGGCGGACGGGUGAGUAACACGUGGAUAACCUGCCUAUAAGACUGGGAUAACUUCGGGAAACCGGAGCUAAUACCGGAUAAUAUAUUGAACCGCAUGGUUCAAUAGUGAAAGACGGUUUUGCUGUCACUUAUAGAUGGAUCCGCGCCGCAUUAGCUAGUUGGUAAGGUAACGGCUUACCAAGGCAACGAUGCGUAGCCGACCUGAGAGGGUGAUCGGCCACACUGGAACUGAGACACGGUCCAGACUCCUACGGGAGGCAGCAGUAGGGAAUCUUCCGCAAUGGGCGAAAGCCUGACGGAGCAACGCCGCGUGAGUGAUGAAGGUCUUCGGAUCGUAAAACUCUGUUAUUAGGGAAGAACAAAUGUGUAAGUAACUAUGCACGUCUUGACGGUACCUAAUCAGAAAGCCACGGCUAACUACGUG